UACGUCGGGUGCGAGCGUUGUCCGGAAUUACUGGGCGUAAAGAGCUCGUAGGUGGUUUGUCGCGUUGUUCGUGAAAACUCACAGCUUAACUGUGGGCGUGCGGGCGAUACGGGCAGACUGGAGUACUGCAGGGGAGACUGGAAUUCCUGGUGUAGCGGUGGAAUGCGCAGAUAUCAGGAGGAACACCGGUGGCGAAGGCGGGUCUCUGGGCCGAUACUGACGCUGAGGAGCGAAAGCGUGGGGAGCGAACAGG
RNAcentral lists this ribosomal RNA (253 nucleotides) under uncultured bacterium. RNAcentral describes it as "partial 16S ribosomal RNA". It matches the Rfam family "Bacterial small subunit ribosomal RNA", at positions 524 to 776 of the family's 1533-position model. The record is from RNAcentral.